RNAcentral lists this small RNA (27 nucleotides) under Bombyx mori (domestic silkworm). RNAcentral's name for it is "ovarian small RNA-25623". The record is from RNAcentral. Lineage: Eukaryota; Metazoa; Arthropoda; Insecta; Lepidoptera; Bombycidae.
UCAGAGUUCUCCACAGGUUGGGUGUUC